AAUCAACGCUGGCGGCGUGCCUCAGACAUGCAAGUCGAACGCGAAAGUUUCCUUCGGGAGGCGAGUAGAGUGGCGCACGGGUGAGUAACACGUAGGUAAUCUACCUUUGGGUGGGGAAUAACAGCCGGAAACGGCUGCUAAUACCGCAUAAUGCAGCGGCUCGACAUCGAGACAGUUGUUAAAGCGGGGGAUCGCAAGACCUCGCGCCUAAAGAGGAGCCUGCGGCGGAUUGGCUAGUUGGUGAGGUAAUGGCUCACCAAGGCAUCGAUCCGUAGCCGGCCUGAGAGGGCGGUCGGCCACACUGACACUGACAUACGGGUCAGACUCCUACGGGAGGCAGCAGUCGGGAAUUUUGGGCAAUGGGCGCAAGCCUGACCCAGCAACGCCGCGUGAAGGAUGAAAUCCCUCGGAUGUAAACUUCGCAAGAACAGGAAGAAUAAGU
RNAcentral lists this ribosomal RNA (442 nucleotides) under uncultured bacterium. RNAcentral's name for it is "bacterial SSU rRNA". It matches the Rfam family "Bacterial small subunit ribosomal RNA", at positions 32 to 454 of the family's 1533-position model. The record is from RNAcentral.